RNAcentral lists this ribosomal RNA (542 nucleotides) under uncultured bacterium. RNAcentral describes it as "bacterial SSU rRNA". It matches the Rfam family "Bacterial small subunit ribosomal RNA", at positions 777 to 1318 of the family's 1533-position model. The record is from RNAcentral.
AAUAGAUACCCAGGUAGUCCACGCCGUAAACGUUGGAUACUAGGUGUGGCGGUUAUACCAAUGACUGCCGUGCCGAAGCUAACGCAUUAAGUAUCCCGCCUGGGGAGUACGGCCGCAAGGCUAAAACUCAAAGGAAUUGACGGGUCCCCGCACAAGCGGCGGAGCAUGCGGCUUAAUUCGAUGCAACCCGAAGAACCUUACCUGGGUUUGACAUCACGGGAAAAGCUGUAGAAAUACAGUGUCCAUUAGGGCCCGUGACAGGUGGUGCAUGGCUGUCGUCAGCUCGUGUCGUGAGAUGUUGGGUUAAGUCCCGCAACGAGCGCAACCCUUGUCCUAUGUUGCCAGCGGUUCGGCCGGGGACUCAUAGGAGACUGCCGGGGAUAACUCGGAGGAAGGUGAGGACGACGUCAAGUCAUCAUGCCCCUUAUAUCCCAGGGCUGCACGCAUGCUACAAUGGCCGGUACAACGGGCAGCGACCCCGCGAGGGUGAGCGAAUCCUAAAAAGCCGGUCCUAGUUCGGAUUGAAGUCUGCAACUCGACUU